RNAcentral lists this ribosomal RNA (465 nucleotides) under uncultured bacterium. RNAcentral describes it as "partial 16S ribosomal RNA". It matches the Rfam family "Bacterial small subunit ribosomal RNA", at positions 338 to 795 of the family's 1533-position model. The record is from RNAcentral.
CCUACGGGGGGCAGCAGUGGGGAAUUUUGGACAAUGGGCGCAAGCCUGAUCCAGCUAUUCCGCGUGUGGGAUGACGGCCUUCGGGUUGUAAACCACUUUUGUAGAGAACGAAAAGUCUGUUGAUAAUACCGAUAGAUGAUGACGGUACUCUAAGAAUAAGCACCGGCUAACUACGUGCCAGCAGCCGCGGUAAUACGUAGGGUGCGAGCGUUAAUCGGAAUUACUGGGCGUAAAGGGUGUGCAGGCGGUUUUGCAAGAUGAAUGUGAAAGCCCCGGGCUUAACCUGGGAAAGCCAUACAUGACUGGAAGACUAGAGUGCGUCAGAGGGGGGUGGAAUUCCAAGUGUAGCAGUGAAAUGCGUAGAUAUUUGGAAGAACACCGAUGGCGAAGGCAGCCACCUGGGACGCAACUGACGCUCAUACACGAAAGCGUGGGGAGCAAACAGGAUUAGAUACCCUAGUAGUC